Molecule: small RNA, 1214 nt
Filed under: Pongo abelii (Sumatran orangutan)
Lineage: Eukaryota; Metazoa; Chordata; Mammalia; Primates; Hominidae
Description: retained intron
Source: RNAcentral
GCACAGUUAACAGACGGGCGCUCAGGGAGCUGUCUGUGAAGCUGCUGGUGGAGUUGGCGUCCGGGGAGCAAGGGCCAUGGCCACCGUGCAGGAGAAGGCUGCUGCGCUGAACCUCUCGGCUCUCCACAGCCCCGCGCACAGGCCUCCUGGUUUCAGUGUAGCUCAGAAGCCAUUUGGAGCCACGUAUGUAUGGAGCAGCAUCAUAAACACUCUUCAAACACAAGUGGAAGUGAAAAAACGAAGGCACCGUUUAAAACGACAUAAUGACUGCUUUGUUGGUUCAGAAGCUGUGGAUGUCAUUUUUUCUCACCUAAUUCAGAAUAAGUAUUUUGGUGAUGUAGAUAUUCCUCGAGCCAAAGUGGUGAGAGUGUGUCAAGCACUUAUGGACUACAAAGUAUUUGAAGCAGUUCCAACCAAAGUCUUUGGAAAAGACAAAAAACCUACAUUUGAAGAUAGUAGUUGCAGCCUUUAUAGAUUCACCACAAUACCUAACCAAGACAGUCAGUCAGGCAAAGUGAACAAACUAUAUUCACCUGCCAGGUUGGUAUAUAAUGUUAGAUUAUCACGGGAAUAUUGGCAGGAUUUUGUCUACCUUUUUAUGAGAUGCCUACUGGCUUUAUAUUACAUUUUUAGCAGUAAAUGUGGCUAAAAUAUGGGUCUGUGGGUAAAUCUGAUAAAGUACGAUGAAAUUUUGUUAACUUUAUUGGGUGUCUCCUAGUCAUAUUUUAUAUUUAGCAGAAGCAGUCAACAUACUUUGAUUUUCCCACUUCAGGUUAUAGUUACAGUAUAAAAAGUGUUCCCAUACCACUUGGUAUGAGAAGAUAGCGAAGGCAGGCAGAGAAAAACCCAGAUUGUGGUGGGAGAGAAGGAAGAAUUAUUUAAAGGGAAACUGGGGAGACAGAAUUGUGGAAUCCAGUGAUUGAAAUGGAUGUGGGUGAUAAUGCAUAAUGAACUUACAGCUAUUUGUCAUGAAGUAAACCAACUUUACCUUUUCCCCUUUGUUACCCUCAGCUAAACCGUGCAGUGGUGACACAGAGGUAUAAUUGAAGCUCUUAUAAUUCAGAUCUGACCUAAAGUCAGAGUUUUAGUGUAUUCAUUUUCGUGUGUGUGUAUUUUUUUGAGGCAGGGUCUUACUCUCUCACCAGACUGGAGUGCAGUGGUGUGAUCUCAGCUCACUGCAUUGUCUGCCUGUUGGGCUCAAGUGAUCCUCCCAU